CAGUAGCCGCGGUAAUACAGAGGGUGCGAGCGUUAAUCGGAUUUACUGGGCGUAAAGCGUGCGUAGGCGGCUUCUUAAGUCUGAUGUGAAAUCCCUGAGCUUAACUUAGGAAUUGCAUUCGAUACUGGGAAGCUAGAGUAUGGGAGAGGAUGGUAGAAUUCCAGGUGUAGCGGUGAAAUGCGUAGAGAUCUGGAGGAAUACCGAUGGCGAAGGCAGCCAUCUGGCCUAAUACUGACGCUGAGGUACGAAAGCAUGGGGAGCAAACAGGAUUAGAUACCCGUGUAGUCCCUGUCUCUUAUAC
This 301-nucleotide ribosomal RNA is filed under the name uncultured bacterium. Its description in RNAcentral is "partial 16S ribosomal RNA". It matches the Rfam family "Bacterial small subunit ribosomal RNA", at positions 509 to 807 of the family's 1533-position model. The record is from RNAcentral.